GACGAACGCUGGCGGCGUGCUUAACACAUGCAAGUCGAACGGAAAGGCCCCUUUGGGGGUACUCGAGUGGCGCACGGGUGCGUAACACGUGAGUAACCUGCCCUUGACUUCGGGAUAACUUCAGGAAACUGGGGCUAAUACCGGAUAGGAAUCCUUGCUGCAUGGUGGGGGUUGGAAAGCUUCGGCGGUUUUGGAUGGACUCGCGGCUUAUCAGCUUGUUGGUGGGGUAGUGGCUUACCAAGGCUUUGACGGGUAGCCGGCCUGAGAGGGCGACCGGCCACAGUGGGACUGAGAUACGGCCCAGACUCCUACGGGAGGCAGCAGUGGGGAAUAUUGCACAAUGGGCGGAAGCCUGAUGCAGCAACGCCGCGUGCGGGAUGACGGCCUUCGGGUUGUAAACCGCUUUCAGCAGGGGCGAAGCUUGUGGUGACGGUACCUGCAGAAGAAGCACCGGCUAACUACGUG
Molecule: ribosomal RNA, 465 nt
Filed under: uncultured bacterium
Lineage: Bacteria
Description: partial 16S ribosomal RNA
Rfam family: Bacterial small subunit ribosomal RNA
Source: RNAcentral